UUGCCAGCCGCCGCGGUAGUACGUAGGGUGCAAGCGUUGUCCGGAAUUAUUGGGCGUAAAGAGCUCGUAGGCGGUCUGUCGCGUCUGCUGUGAAAACUCGGGGCUUAACCCCGGGCCUGCAGUGGGUACGGGCAGACUAGAGUGCGGUAGGGGAGACUGGAAUUCCUGGUGUAGCGGUGAAAUGCGCAGAUAUCAGGAGGAACACCGGUGGCGAAGGCGGGUCUCUGGGCCGUAACUGACGCUGAGGAGCGAAAGCAUGGGGAGCGAACAGGAUUAGAUACCCCAGUAGUCC
This 292-nucleotide ribosomal RNA is filed under the name uncultured bacterium. RNAcentral describes it as "partial 16S ribosomal RNA". It matches the Rfam family "Bacterial small subunit ribosomal RNA", at positions 505 to 796 of the family's 1533-position model. The record is from RNAcentral.